Oncorhynchus gorbuscha (pink salmon) is the source of this 309-nucleotide long non-coding RNA. RefSeq lists it as uncharacterized. The transcript has 3 exons. The record is from RefSeq and is a predicted model, not a curated record. NCBI's taxonomy places the organism in Eukaryota, Metazoa, Chordata, Actinopteri, Salmoniformes, Salmonidae.
CUGUUAUGGUGGUGUUGAUGGGGUGGUAAUGAUGGUGUUGGUGGUGGUGUUGGUGUUGUGUAGACUGCUCUAUAGUGAGGGUAUCAGGGAGUAAGCCUACAGGAAAACACACAGACUGGAUGGCUGCUGCAAAACCACAAGGCCAGGAGGGCACAGUCAGUCACAUCUGCAACAGUUUGGGAACACUGCCCUGCUGGGAUUACAACAAUACAUCAUGACUGGAUGGCUGCUGCAAAACCACAAGGUCAGGAGGACACAGUCAGUCACAUCUGCAACAGUUUGGGAACACUGCAUUGCUGGGAUUACAAC